UACGGAGGGAGCUAGCGUUGUUCGGAAUUACUGGGCGUAAAGGGCGCGUAGGUGGCCUGUUAAGUCGAACGUGAAAUCCCCGGGCUCAACCCGGGAACUGCGUCCGAGACUGGCAGGCUCGAAUCCGGGAGAGGGAUGUGGAAUUCCAGGUGUAGCGGUGAAAUGCGUAGAUAUCUGGAGGAACACCGGUGGCGAAGGCGGCAUCCUGGACCGGUAUUGACGCUGAGGCGCGAAAGCCAGGGGAGCAAACGGG
RNAcentral lists this ribosomal RNA (253 nucleotides) under uncultured bacterium. RNAcentral describes it as "partial 16S ribosomal RNA". It matches the Rfam family "Bacterial small subunit ribosomal RNA", at positions 524 to 776 of the family's 1533-position model. The record is from RNAcentral.